CCUACGGGAGGCAGCAGUGGGGAAUAUUGGACAAUGGGGGGAACCCUGAUCCAGCCAUGCCGCGUGUGUGAAGAAGGCCCUCGGGUUGUAAAGCACUUUCAGUGAGGAAGAACGCCUGGUGGUUAAUACCCAUCAGGAAAGACAUCACUCACAGAAGAAGCACCGGCUAACUCCGUGCCAGCAGCCGCGGUAAUACGGAGGGUGCGAGCGUUAAUCGGAAUUACUGGGCGUAAAGCGCGCGUAGGUGGCUUGAUAAGCCGGUUGUGAAAGCCCCGGGCUCAACCUGGGAACGGCAUCCGGAACUGUCAAGCUAGAGUGCAGGAGAGGAAGGUAGAAUUCCCGGUGUAGCGGUGAAAUGCGUAGAGAUCAGGAGGAAUACCAGUGGCGAAGGCGGCCUUCUGGACUGACACUGACACUGAGGUGCGAAAGCGUGGGUAGCAAACAGGAUUAGAUACCCGAGUAGUC
Molecule: ribosomal RNA, 465 nt
Filed under: Vreelandella stevensii
Lineage: Bacteria; Pseudomonadati; Pseudomonadota; Gammaproteobacteria; Oceanospirillales; Halomonadaceae
Description: partial 16S ribosomal RNA
Rfam family: Bacterial small subunit ribosomal RNA
Source: RNAcentral